RNAcentral lists this ribosomal RNA (366 nucleotides) under Triticum aestivum (bread wheat). Its description in RNAcentral is "partial small subunit ribosomal RNA". The record is from RNAcentral. Lineage: Eukaryota; Viridiplantae; Streptophyta; Magnoliopsida; Poales; Poaceae.
AUGGAGCAAAUUAUGUCGCUGGAUGCAGCUUUGCCACAUCAAUUCUCCACUGGUUCCUUGCAUCUCGCAUCCUCGUCGAGCGUCGAAGCACCCCCGCCCAUCGAUGGUAGCAGCAUCGACGCCUCCGGGCCUUGCGUCUCGCAUCCUCAUCGAGCGUCGCCGGUUGAAGGUCGCCAUGCGUGCCACCCCCGGCAUCCCAUCACACCAUUUGCUGGUUCCAGCAAAGAGAAACGACGAUUCCAGCAAAAAACGCCACCGGACACAGCAAAAACGACCGUCGAUCCCAACAAAAAACAACACUCCAGUCAUCCCGUCACCCCGUUUGCUGGUUCCAGCAAAAUAAAUCAUCAAUUCGAGCAAAACUAG